UACGAAGGGGGCGAGCGUUGUUCGGAAUUACUGGGCGUAAAGCGCACGUAGGCGGAUUUGUAAGUCAGGGGUGAAAUCCCGGGGCUCAACCCCGGAACUGCCUUUGAUACUGCAAAUCUCGAGUCCGGAAGAGGUGAGUGGAAUUCCUAGUGUAGAGGUGAAAUUCGUAGAUAUUAGGAAGAACACCAGUGGCGAAGGCGGCUCACUGGUCCGGUACUGACGCUGAGGUGCGAAAGCGUGGGGAGCAAACAGG
This 253-nucleotide ribosomal RNA is filed under the name uncultured bacterium. RNAcentral's name for it is "partial 16S ribosomal RNA". It matches the Rfam family "Bacterial small subunit ribosomal RNA", at positions 524 to 776 of the family's 1533-position model. The record is from RNAcentral.